UUAACACUCCUCCUAAAUGAUAACAUGGUU
RNAcentral lists this small RNA (30 nucleotides) under Bombyx mori (domestic silkworm). RNAcentral describes it as "ovarian small RNA-3928". Lineage: Eukaryota; Metazoa; Arthropoda; Insecta; Lepidoptera; Bombycidae. The record is from RNAcentral.